ACCCGGUGCUCGCUGCUCGCUGCUCGCUGCCCCUCCAGACCACGGUAUUUCUUACUCCUCGACAUAUAUACCACCCGAUAAUAGUCAUUCCUUUCCCUGGCACUACACAAUUGAUUGGUCGAUUGGUCAGCCCUCUCACCAUGGCAGCGGAAAGCGCCCAGUCGGAAUUCCAGCGCGCCUCCACCUCUGGUUCCGCUGAUGCUCCUGCGCCUGAGACUGAGACUGAAAUCCAAGAGAGUACUGAUCUCAUCCAGCAGCUCUCAGAGCAAGCCGGUCAACUCGUUGAGCAGUCAGACCAACUAUCACAACAUUCGCGAACUUCCCACCCCUUUGAGACACCACAACCCCAAAUGACAGCAAUAGCAGAUUCUAAAGAAAAUGAAGACAAUAACCCUGAACACCAGGUAACGGAUGAACAAUGGAGAGCUAUGUUCGAUGUUGUCCUGGCGAUAUACGAUUAUCGCGAGCCGGACGGCUAUGACCCCUCGCGUCUUUUCCAUCGCAGCGUCAACAAACGCAAUGUGCCGGACUACUACGAUGUCAUCAAAGAGCCCAUGGCCCUCAGUGUGCUGAAGCAAAAGAUUAAGAAUAAAUCAUACUGCAAUUUUGCAGAGUUUAUAAGAGAUUGCGCAUUGAUUCCCCACAACGCGCAAACAUAUAAUCGCCCUAAAUCCCAAGCUUACGAAGAUGCGCUAGUUAUCAAGGACGUCUUUAUUUCUGAAUUUCGAAAACUUGUCGAACAAGGGAUAAUUUCCUCGGAAACAGCCGAACUUCCGGACCUAGGGGAAAUUCCCGACGCAGACCCUCUUCCAGUCGAAGAAGACGAGGAGGAAGAAGAGGAAGACGAUGAGGAAGACGAUGAAGCUGAAGACUCAGAUGAUGAGGCCGGUCGCCGCAGACAAAAACGACCGAACCGUGGGUCUUCCAAAAGAGAAGGCGCUAAAGACGACCAGAAUAAAAUCAACGACCCUGAGCUCCGAAAAAAACGCGGUCGUCCUCCCCGCGUUGAUACCCCGAUGGAAGCGCGGAUCAAGGCUGUCUUGAAGGGAAUACGCAAGUUCAAGGAUUCCACGGGCCAGCUAAAAGUUCGCCAUUUUGAGCGGCUACCCGACAAGGCUGCCUAUCCUGAUUAUUUCUCGGAGAUUAAGGAUCCUAUGGCCAUUGACCUCAUAAAAAGGAAAUCUAAGAGGAAGAAGUACAACUCGGUUGACCAUUUUAUGAAAGAUAUGGACCUUAUGUUCAACAAUGCAAAGGCAUAUAACCAAGUUGAUAGCCAAAUAUACAAGGAUGCUGCCGCUUUGCAGACGGAAGCACGGAAAUUAGCCGAUCAAGAGAAGAAGAAACCAGACAGCGAGUAUCUGAUGGAGGAUGGACGACUCCCGUUACCAAAUGGCAUCUUACAUAAAGGUGAACUUUGGAAAGUUGGAGACUGGGUACAUAUUCAAAAUCCGAACGAUGUAACGAAGCCGAUAGUUGCGCAGAUCUACCGGACCUGGCAAGAUGUGGAAGGACAGAAAUGGGUUAAUGCCUGCUGGUACUACCGGCCAGAACAGACCGUUCACCAAUACGAGAAACACUUUUAUCCCAACGAAGUCGUGAAAACCGGCCAAUACCGAGAUCAUCGGAUUGGGGAAGUCGUUGACCGAUGCUUUGUCAUGUUUUUCACCCGCUACAAUCGUGGGAGGCCACGAGGGCUGGCGCCAGACAAACAGGUUUAUGUGUGCGAAGCACGAUACAAUGAGGAGAAACACAAGCUCAACAAGAUCAAAACCUGGGCUAGUUGUCUGCCUGACGAAGUCAGAGAGAAGGAUUACGAGAUGGAUCUUUUUGAUGCGCCUCGGAAAAUCAAAAAGAUACCGAGCCCAAUCAAACAUUUGCUUAAGGAGGAUGCGAAGGAAACAGAUGAUGUACCUAAACCGACGUGGGGUGCAGAGAAUGCGCCACCAAUUGUGGGUGCAGUACACCGCCGACCAAGGGAGGAAAACGAAUCUCCACCCCCGGAACCUACCCCAUCGCCGCCUCCACAACUCCCCGCGCCCCCGGUCGUUCCCCUCGCACCCCAACGUCAAAUGUCUAUAAAUCGCGCUCCGACCCGCCAAAGUAUCGACAGCCAAAGCGAUUACCGCAUGAGCGCUAGUCCCUUACAUUCCCUACCAGCACGCUCAGCAGGCCAACCAACUCCACAUGCUCCGCCGGCAGUUGCUCCCCAGCAGGCGCCCAUCCCACUAACACGCAUGCAGCAAUCCUUCCCUCCUCUAUCAGCCACCCCAACAUCAGCCACCCCAGUCUACCCCCCCGGCUACCCAAACCACCGGCCAGGACCCCCAUUCGCAUCUCAGACGCCUCAAUCCACUCCAAUUUAUCAACAACCGCCCCCGCCACAACCUUACUCCGCCCCACACAAUUUCCCUUCUUACCAAGCCAGUCGCUAUCAUCCCCAUCCCCCUCACAUCCCUCAAGCCCACCUCCAGCAACAGUCGCAGCUACUACCACAGCCACAAUCACAGCCACAACCAGUCCUUCCACCCAACAUUUACAACCCAAACGCACCCCGACCAGUGGAAACGUUCAUUCUAAGCGAUAAUACCAACGCGGCUAUACCAGAAGAAAUCCGCGGACAAUUCCACUGUGACGAGAAAGGGCACGUGCUAUUCUUCACGAGCCCGCCGCUAGAUGUCGUACAGCCAGCUGAACAGACGGGGUUGGGACAUUCAUUGCGCUAUCUGGCAGCAAAGGAGGAGAGGGCAAAGAUUAUUGAGAAAAGGAGGAUCGAGAGGGAAGAAAUGGAUAAAGAGAGGGCAAUGAAACGGCUGAAAACGACUAUGACCACUAUCACUACUACCGACGCAUGUAGUAAGGAUAAUAACGCUACUCUCGCAAAAACCGACCGAAACAUGCUCUGUGAGCUCGCGGUAAUGGCGGCCGUUGCACAGAUGAAGCAGGCAGAUCAGGAUUGGUAUCUAAUGCGUUAUGGAGAGAAUAAUGCUGUGAAGGCUAAAGAGGCAGAUAGGGAGAGGUUCAUGAGGAUCUUGGGCGAGAAAGAGAAGGCGGAUGCAAUGAGGGAGAGCUUGGACGUUAGGGAGCCGGUGGACGUGGUGCCUGUCCUUAGUCUUGCGGCGGGGAAGGAGGGGCAGCUGUUUAAACGGGUGAUUUAUAAUACCGGCUUUCUUCUAAAGGUGAAGGCUGGCAUGUGUGUGAUCUCAGGCGGUCUUGUGCCUCGCAUCUAUUCAUCCUUUCUGUCUUUCUAUUCUUUAAAUUUUAUUCAAGUUCUACCUACUUGGCUUGCACCUUGACUCCGGCUUUGGAAGGGCGUCCUAUUUUCCCGCCUUCUUUAACCAACCUGGAUGGAUAAGGCAGUGAAAACAAAAACCGAGAUUGAAAAUUUCGGUGAUGGUUAAUUUGAGGCCACAUGAAGAAUAACGCAACCAAGUCUCCCUAAAAUUUUAUGUAUAUCCCUUUUCCGCAUUUCGAGCGACACGUGGGUAUAUCUCCCCCGAAGGUUCAGACAUCUCCCAUGCAUCUUCAUAAUAUUUCUGAAUCAAGUUUAAAAAUUAAAAUGAUAAUCUAUCCAUGUAAACAAGGCAGAUUACGGUGCAUGGGCGGCUGAAGACAUUCGCUUGGCCUGUUUAGCGAUUUGUUUCUUUCCAGCUGCCAGCUUUUAUACUUAAACAGGUUUCAAAAAAGCCGAGUGUGGACCUGGGACAAAAGAACUUAUUCACCACCAGCGACAUGCUGGUAGUAGAGGGGACAAGCCAACCCAAUCCAUCCCUCCAACAGUUAGAUUGUGAAAUGGAUAAAAAACAUACAAAAUAUAUCUUAAGAUUGGUUCACCUGUUGACCAUAAGGAUUGAUCCUUUUUGAUGUAGUGGUAAAAAGUUUCUCUCAUCAGCUUUGCACUGUGCACAUACCACCAUUACCAGUAUGAGAAGCAACUUUGUGAAACAAACAAGACAAACAUGAAAUAUAUCUUUGCAUAAUGAGUGAAAAGGUGAUAAAAUACCUCCAAGCUGAAGCUGGAGGAACACUGAGCACUAAACAAUAACAAUCAAAAUAUACAUUAUGAGCUAAAUAUACAUAUAUAUGUAUUUAUAGAAUGAGACAAAGCAUGUUUGAAUGACAUGAAUAUAUAUUUAGAGAUAUGUUGUGAAUGAAUGCACAUCAUCAUACAGUGAUGAUGAAUAGAUUGAUUAAAUAGAAAAACCCUUUAGCAGAAUGAGAAUAAGUUACUGAUUCAAUGAUGAAUGCAGUUUUCCACUCUUUGAUUCAUAUUUCCACAAAUUCUCAUCCCAUACUGAGUGGGAAUGGAAAAUCAAAGAAGAAUUAAUGAUUUGAGAUAGUUAAGUGAGAAACAGUAUAUGAGAAGCCAGCAAUUGAAAGC
RNAcentral lists this small RNA (4378 nucleotides) under Histoplasma capsulatum. Its description in RNAcentral is "hypothetical RNA". Lineage: Eukaryota; Fungi; Ascomycota; Eurotiomycetes; Onygenales; Ajellomycetaceae. The record is from RNAcentral.